CGGUGCCAGCCGCCGCGGUAAUACCGGCACCCCAAGUGGUCGUCGCUUUUAUUGGGCCUAAAACGUCCGUCGCCUGUUUGGUACAUUCGUGGGUAAAUCAAGCCGCUUAACGGCUUGAAUUCUGCGAGGACGGCCAGACUAGGGACCGGGAGAGGUAUGGGGUACUCUCAGGGUAGGGGUAAAAUCCAGUCAUCCUGAGGGGACCACCUGUUGCGAAGGCGCCAUACUAGAACGGAUCCGACGGUCAGGGACGAAGCCUAGGGGCACGAACCGGAUUAGAUACCCGGGUAGUCCUAGGUGUAAACGCUGUGGACUUGGUGUUGGGGAUUCUACGAGUAUCCCCAGUGCCGAAGUGAAGAUGUUAAGUCCACUGCCUGGGGAGUACGGUCGCAAGGCUGAAACUUAAAGGAAUUGGCGGGGGAGCACAGCAACGAGAGGAGCGUGCGGUUU
Molecule: ribosomal RNA, 450 nt
Filed under: uncultured euryarchaeote
Lineage: Archaea; Methanobacteriati; Methanobacteriota
Description: bacterial SSU rRNA
Rfam family: Archaeal small subunit ribosomal RNA
Source: RNAcentral